UACAGAGGUGGCAAGCGUUGCUCGGAAUUACUGGGCGUAAAGGGCGCGUAGGCGGUCUUUUAAGUUCCGUGUGAAAUCCCUCGGCUCAACUGGGGAACUGCACGGGAAACUGGAAGGCUUGAGUUCGGGAGAGGGAAGCGGAAUUCCGGGUGUAGCGGUGAAAUGCGUAGAUAUCCGGAGGAACACCGGUGGCGAAGGCGGCUUCCUGGACCGACACUGACGCUGAGGCGCGAAAGCGUGGGGAGCAAACAGG
This 253-nucleotide ribosomal RNA is filed under the name uncultured bacterium. Its description in RNAcentral is "partial 16S ribosomal RNA". It matches the Rfam family "Bacterial small subunit ribosomal RNA", at positions 524 to 776 of the family's 1533-position model. The record is from RNAcentral.